UUUUUUCCAAGUACGUUUUCAGAUUACUCCCGUUUACAGUGUCAAUCAAAACCAUAUUAUAAUAUUAAUGUCGCCUCGCCUGCAGUUAUAUACACUUCAUCCGUCCUUUAAGGCGGUGGAGACAGACGAAGCCAUUAAUGAAUGUCUCGAAAAUCACUCCAAUUUCCCGCUUCUUCAUUCCACAACUUCACCCAUAUAAACAGGCAGAACCUGCAAAUUUGCAUUGUGGGUUUUGCUUAAAAACAAGAAAAUUCUAAUGGGUCUGAAAGUUCAACAAAGAGGGAGAAAGAGAUGGAGGUGGAACAGAGGCAGAAACAGAGCGAGAGAAAGUAGAAGCAGCUUGAAUAUAUAUAAUUUACGAUCUCUGACUGUGGAGUGUUUAUGAUCCAUGGUCAUGGUUGUGGAAUGACAUCGAAUUUCACACAGGCACACAUCCUCUCUGAACCCCAACAACUAAAAGAUUGUCUGAAACAGAGGACCAGUUUGUAAAUAUUUUACAAGUGUCAAGUAAAUCAAUUUACCAAGCAAAUCCGAAUUUGUAAAUGGUGUAAUGUAGAAAUUCAAUACUAUGAAUUUUUUGUGGCAAUCCUCUUGGAACGUGCCAGGAAAAUAUAUUUUUUUUGCGAGGAAUAAUUUUUAAGUAUUUUCCCGUAUCAAAUAAAUUAAUUUACUAGACAAAUCCAAAUUUGUAAGUAGUGUACUGUAAAAAUUCAGUACUAUGAACUUUUUGUGGAAGUCCGCUUAUAACAUGCAAGUAAAAUAUGUUCUUUUGCUUUUAUACAAUGCAUGCAUACCUUACGUACAUACACUAUUUUGUUAACUUGGAAACCUUUCCAAUCUAGCUUGAGGAUAUGAGAGACUUUUGAGGUUGGGGCUGCU
Long non-coding RNA from Cryptomeria japonica (Japanese cedar), 879 nucleotides. RefSeq lists it as uncharacterized. NCBI's taxonomy places the organism in Eukaryota, Viridiplantae, Streptophyta, Pinopsida, Cupressales, Cupressaceae. The record is from RefSeq and is a predicted model, not a curated record. The transcript is spliced from 3 exons.